AUAAUGAUACUCCCAUACAGCCACAGUCCGAACGUGAUAAAAACGUCGCAGGCAAUGGGUAUGGCUACAUGAAAACCAUGUAGAGGUGAAAAUCCUGUGA
This 100-nucleotide non-coding RNA is filed under the name chicken gut metagenome. Its description in RNAcentral is "pemK RNA". It matches the Rfam family "pemK RNA". The record is from RNAcentral.